Molecule: ribosomal RNA, 229 nt
Filed under: uncultured bacterium
Lineage: Bacteria
Description: partial 16S ribosomal RNA
Rfam family: Bacterial small subunit ribosomal RNA
Source: RNAcentral
UGCGUAGGCGGAAUAAUAAGUCAGUGGUGAAAUCCUGCGGCUCAACCGUAGAACUGCCAUUGAUACUGUUAUUCUUGAAUAUAGUUGAGGUAGGCGGAAUGUGUAAUGUAGCGGUGAAAUGCUUAGAUAUUACACAGAACACCGAUUGCGAAGGCAGCUUGCUAAACUAUUAUUGACGCUGAUGCACGAAAGCGUGGGGAGCGAACAGGAUUAGAUACCCUGGUAGUCC